RNAcentral lists this ribosomal RNA (214 nucleotides) under uncultured bacterium. RNAcentral describes it as "partial 16S ribosomal RNA". It matches the Rfam family "Bacterial small subunit ribosomal RNA", at positions 137 to 334 of the family's 1533-position model. The record is from RNAcentral.
AUGGGGACAACAUUCCGAAAGGAAUGCUAAUACCGAAUGAAGCGGAGGAGGAGGCAUCUCUCCUCCGUGAAAGAUGGCCUCUAUUUAUAAGCUAUCACCUGUCGAUGGGUCUGCGUCUGAUUAGCUAGUUGGUGAGGUAACGGCUCACCAAGGCGACGAUCAGUAGCCGGUCUGAGAGGAUGAACGGCCACAUUGGGACUGAGACACGGCCCAG